AUUGAACGCUGGCGGCAGGCCUAACACAUGCAAGUCGAGCGGAUGAAGGGGGCUUGCUCCUGGAUUCAGCGGCGGACGGGUGAGUAAUGCCUAGGAAUCUGCCUGGUAGUGGGGGAUAACGUCCGGAAACGGGCGCUAAUACCGCAUACGUCCUGAGGGAGAAAGUGGGGGAUCUUCGGACCUCACGCUAUCAGAUUAGCCUAGGUCGGAUUAGCUAGUUGGUGGGGUAAAGGCCUACCAAGGCGACGAUCCGUAACUGGUCUGAGAGGAUGAUCAGUCACACUGGAACUGAGACACGGUCCAGACUCCUACGGGAGGCAGCAGUGGGGAAUAUUGGACAAUGGGCGAAAGCCGGAUCCAGCCAUGCCGGGUGUGUGAAGAAGGUCUUCGGAUUGUAAAGCACUUUAAGUUGGGAGGAAGGGAAGUAAGUUAAUCCCUUGCUGUUUUGACGUUACCAAAAGAAUAAGCCCCGGCUAACUUCGUG
Molecule: ribosomal RNA, 484 nt
Filed under: uncultured bacterium
Lineage: Bacteria
Description: partial 16S ribosomal RNA
Rfam family: Bacterial small subunit ribosomal RNA
Source: RNAcentral